UGGGGAAUUUUGGACAAUGGGCGAAAGCCUGGUCCAGCAAUGCCGCGUGUGUGAAGAAGGCCUUCGGGUUGUAAAGCACUUUUGUCCGGAAAGAAAUCCUUGGCUCUAAUACAGUCGGGGGAUGACGGUACCGGAAGAAUAAGCACCGGCUAACUACGUGCCAGCAGCCGCGGUAAUACGUAGGGUGCAAGCGUUAAUCGGAAUUACUGGGCGUAAAGCGUGCGCAGGCGGUUUGCUAAGACCGAUGUGAAAUCCCCGGGCUCAACCUGGGAACUGCAUUGGUGACUGGCAGGCUAGAGUAUGGCAGAGGGGGGUAGAAUUCCACGUGUAGCAGUGAAAUGCGUAGAGAUGUGGAGGAAUACCGAUGGCGAAGGCAGCCCCCUGGGCCAAUACUGACGCUCAUGCACGAAAAGCGUGGGGGAGCAAAACAGGAUUAGAUACCCUGGUAGUCCACGCCCUAAAACGAUGUCAACUAGUUGUUGGGGAUUCAUUUCCUUAGUAACGUAGCUAACGCGUGAAGUUGACCGCCUGGGGAGUACGGUCGCAAGAUUAAAACUUAAAUGAAUUGACGGGGUCAUAGCUGUUUCCU
Molecule: ribosomal RNA, 589 nt
Filed under: uncultured bacterium
Lineage: Bacteria
Description: partial 16S ribosomal RNA
Rfam family: Bacterial small subunit ribosomal RNA
Source: RNAcentral